This 405-nucleotide unclassified non-coding RNA is filed under the name fungal sp. Its description in RNAcentral is "partial internal transcribed spacer region". The stretch from base 1 to 46 matches the Rfam family "Eukaryotic small subunit ribosomal RNA", at positions 1786 to 1831 of the family's 1831-position model. The record is from RNAcentral. Lineage: Eukaryota; Fungi.
AAGUCGUAACAAGGUUUCCGUAGGUGAACCUGCGGAAGGAUCAUUACUACGUUUCUAAACAAACGUUUUAAACUCCAAAAUUUUAAUAGUGGAAAAUAUAACUUCCGGAUGCAUUUGUAGGAGGGGAGAUCAGACCUUAAAUAGUCUGUUUUUCUCUUUUGAAAAGGAGACUUCAUACACUUCUUGUGAGUGUGUGACACUUCAGAGUAGAGCAGUGAGGUGAAAACUUCGGUUUUGGUUUCUGAAAUACAUCUGUAUCCGGUUAUUCUCUGUUCUACAACCCUUUUAUUAAACAAUAAACCCCAUGUACAACAACUUGAACUAAACAAAUUUUGUUUUCUCUUUGAGGAAAUGAAGUAAAUCUGAACUUAAGAACAACUCUUAACAACGGAUAUCUUGGUUCUC